GCUUACGACCACACCGGCCUGAGUACGCCUGAUCUCGUCUGAUCUCGGAAGCUAAGCAGGGUCCUGGUUAGUACUUGGGAUGGGAGACUUCCUGGGAAUACCAGGUGCUGUAAGCU
Oncorhynchus tshawytscha (Chinook salmon) is the source of this 116-nucleotide ribosomal RNA. The record is from Ensembl. Lineage: Eukaryota; Metazoa; Chordata; Actinopteri; Salmoniformes; Salmonidae.